Molecule: ribosomal RNA, 459 nt
Filed under: uncultured bacterium
Lineage: Bacteria
Description: partial 16S ribosomal RNA
Rfam family: Bacterial small subunit ribosomal RNA
Source: RNAcentral
CCUACGGGUGGCUGCAGUGAGGAAUAUUGGUCAAUGGGCGGGAGCCUGAACCAGCCAAGUAGCGUGAAGGAUGACAGCCCUAUGGGUUUUAAACUUCUUUUAUAAGGGAAUAAAGUGCUCCACGUGUGGGGUUUUGUAUGUACUUUAUGAAUAAGCAUCGGCUAAUUCCGUGCCAGCAGCCGCGGUAAUACGGAAGAUGCGAGCGUUAUCCGGAUUUAUUGGGUUUAAAGGGAGCGUAGACGGUUUUUUAAGUCAGCGGUAAAAUCGUGCGGCUCAACCGUACCGUGCCGUUGAAACUGGGGGACUUGAGUAUGCGCAGGGUAUGUGGAAUUCGUGGUGUAGCGGUGAAAUGCUUAGAUAUCACGAAGAACUCCGAUCGCGAAGGCAGUGUACCAAAGCAAGACUGACACUGAGGCUCGAAAGUGCGGGUAUCAAACAGGAUUAGAUACCCUAGUAGUC